UACGUAGGGUGCGAGCGUUAAUCGGAAUUACUGGGCGUAAAGCGUGCGCAGGCGGUUUUGUAAGCCAGAUGUGAAAUCCCCGGGCUCAACCUGGGAAUGGCAUUUGGGACUGCAAGGCUUGAGUGCGGCAGAGGAGACUGGAAUUCCUGGUGUAGCAGUGAAAUGCGUAGAUAUCAGGAGGAAUACCGAUGGCGAAGGCAGGUCUCUGGGCUGACACUGACGCUCAGGCACGAAAGCGUGGGGAGCAAAAGGG
Molecule: ribosomal RNA, 253 nt
Filed under: uncultured bacterium
Lineage: Bacteria
Description: partial 16S ribosomal RNA
Rfam family: Bacterial small subunit ribosomal RNA
Source: RNAcentral